This 58-nucleotide transfer RNA is filed under the name Manacus vitellinus (golden-collared manakin). It matches the Rfam family "tRNA", at positions 8 to 63 of the family's 71-position model. Rfam says of the family: Transfer RNA (tRNA) molecules are approximately 80 nucleotides in length. Their secondary structure includes four short double-helical elements and three loops (D, anti-codon, and T loops). Further hydrogen bonds mediate the characteristic L-shaped molecular structure. tRNAs have two regions of fundamental functional importance: the anti-codon, which is responsible for specific mRNA codon recognition, and the 3' end, to which the tRNAs corresponding amino acid is attached (by aminoacyl-tRNA synthetases). tRNAs cope with the degeneracy of the genetic code in two manners: having more than one tRNA (with a specific anti-codon) for a particular amino acid; and 'wobble' base-pairing, i.e. permitting non-standard base-pairing at the 3rd anti-codon position. The record is from Rfam by way of RNAcentral. Lineage: Eukaryota; Metazoa; Chordata; Aves; Passeriformes; Pipridae.
UAGCUCAGUUGGUUAGAGCAUGGUGCUAAUAACACCAAGGUUGUGGGUUCAAUCCCUC